Molecule: long non-coding RNA, 241 nt
Organism: Ipomoea nil (Japanese morning glory)
Lineage: Eukaryota; Viridiplantae; Streptophyta; Magnoliopsida; Solanales; Convolvulaceae
Exons: 3
Source: RefSeq, a predicted model, not a curated record
CAGGAAAUAACUGUAAAGGGAAUUCUUACACUGCAAAAGUAAGUUUUCAUUUAUUGCAAUUAGGCAUAUGAGACGUAUGGUUUACAGUAACAUCAGCCUUCUGGUUGGAUUCGUAUUACAUGUAUUUAACAAUAACAUAUAUGCAAAAUGAUAAACUGUACACAUCGGUCCCUAAUAUUAAAGAAAAGAUGAAGAGUUGGUACCAUUGUUCUGAAGAUUUGAAGUAUUGGAAGAAGGCAUC